This 468-nucleotide ribosomal RNA is filed under the name uncultured bacterium. RNAcentral's name for it is "partial 16S ribosomal RNA". It matches the Rfam family "Bacterial small subunit ribosomal RNA", at positions 28 to 507 of the family's 1533-position model. The record is from RNAcentral.
GACGAACGCUGGCGGCGUGCUUAACACAUGCAAGUCGAACGGAAAGGCCCUGCUUUUGUGGGGUGCUCGAGUGGCGAACGGGUGAGUAACACGUGAGUAACCUGCCCUUGACUUUGGGAUAACUUCAGGAAACUGGGGCUAAUACCGGAUAGGAGCUCCUGCUGCACGGUGGGGGUUGGAAAGUUUCGGCGGUUGGGGAUGGACUCGCGGCUUAUCAGCUUGUUGGUGGGGUAGUGGCUUACCAAGGCUUUGACGGGUAGCCGGCCUGAGAGGGUGACCGGCCACAUUGGGACUGAGAUACGGCCCAGACUCCUACGGGAGGCAGCAGUGGAGAAUAUUGCACAAUGGGCGGAAGCCUGAUGCAGCAACGCCGCGUGCGGGAUGACGGCCUUCGAGUUGUAAACCGCUUUCGCCUGUGACGAAGCGUGAGUGACGGUAAUGGGUAAAGAAGCACCGGCUAACUACGUG